GGACCGUUCCGGUGGACUAGUGGUUAGAGUGUCCGCCUCAGAUGCGGACGGAUGUGGGUUCGAUACCUGGCUGUUUCA
Non-coding RNA from Potamilus streckersoni, 78 nucleotides. The record is from the annotation of a GenBank genome assembly. Lineage: Eukaryota; Metazoa; Mollusca; Bivalvia; Unionida; Unionidae.